Molecule: non-coding RNA, 730 nt
Organism: Python bivittatus (Burmese python)
Lineage: Eukaryota; Metazoa; Chordata; Lepidosauria; Squamata; Pythonidae
Source: RefSeq, a predicted model, not a curated record
UCGAAGGCGGCUCUAGACGACGACUCCUCCUCCUCCUCCUUCUCCUCCUCCUCCUGCUUUCCUGCGCGGCGGCCGCGAACAGAGUGAAAGCGACAGCAGCCCCGCUUCGGCUACAAAUGGCCGUCGGGAGGUGGGGGCAGCCAUGCAAAUAGUGCAGAAAUCCCCAGGCAACCAGGCAGUUUCUAUAUUGAUUACCUGCUUGCUGGAACUGUCCACAUUGUAAAAGGGUGUCUAAAGGAGAAUGGGCCAAACUAAUUCAAAUAACAAUGAUUGAGAGAAAAUUAAAGGUGACAGGAAGCAAUUGUGGGAAGUUGAAGGAGAUGUUACCUCUUCUUGAAAUGUACUGAGGAAGAGGAAAAAUGCAUGUAGUCUGUAGAAUCAAGCUAAGACAGCUGCAGAAUGUAAAACAGUUGAACAAGGGAACUUGCAGAGAUGAUAAUUUUUGUAAAAGAAGGACUUGCAAAAACACUCAGAGAACAAGCCAAACAAUAAUUGUUAUUAGAAUAAACCUUAUUACAGUGUAAUUGACUUCAGACAUUUCCUCGCCUGUACAAUAUCUUUUACAAAAUUGUUCCUGACUAAUGGGACAAAAUGUUUUUUGACCUAUUCCUUUUUUAUUACAGAAAAUCUUGGGACAGGAAGCAAUACGCUGAAUUGUCCGCUCAGGUGCAACUUUCCAUUUCUCAUUUAUGUAUACAUUUACAGUUGAGGCUUCCUUUUUCAUAAAUAA